GUAUAUAUACAAUGUAAACAAUGUGGUAUUUCUGUUCUUCUAAUGGCGAUUAAAAUGAUUAAGAAUGAAAGAAUUGAAUUUUGAAAUUACAGAAGCAAACAAUGAAGUGAAUGGCCUUAAGGUUGUGUUUCCUCUAUGACAUGGUGGUGGUAGUGCAUUCAGGAGGAAGGCCCUGUGGGAAUCGCUUGGUGUCAGAGCAGUAAUUGUAGAUCAUGUAAUUCUUCUGCACCCAUUUCAUUCUCUCUUGGCUUGUGGAAUCAAGCUCUUGUGAGUACCACUCUGUAUUGGUGGAGGUAGAAGUGGGAGUAUUUGAACUGCAAGAAGAAGCUCCAGAAGACCAGAUGCAAGCAUCUGCAUUGAAGUUCCUAUAGGAAGCAGUGAAGGGAGCUUGGCUCCAGUCUGUCUUGACAAGCCCACCUCUUGUUGCCCAGUCAUCUGCAUUCCAGAGACUGGAGUAUAUCCUCAUGGGCUGGUUCUUUGGGUAUGAAACACCGAUUGACUCAGAGUUCUUGAACUCCCUGAUGGGGGUGCCAUCCACAGAGAAGCUGAAACAGAGAUACCCCAGAUGAGUAAAUCAAUACAAAAACCCAAAAAACAUAAACCAGAUUGCAGUAUUGGAGAUUAGAAUAAUAGCACUUACAUAAUCCGCUGGGGAUUCCAAAGUAUGGAAUAGGUAUGGAAAUCAGCAGUUGGGUCAAACCAAAGGUAGAACUGCUGUUCUCUGUUUCCCUUGCCUUGGCUGAACACAUUAGUGUGAAGAAUGUAUGGAUCACCACUGAGAUUGCCCAGGAAUUCGAAGUCGAUUUCAUCAUGGGUUGGCCCUUGUGAAGAUAACUGCAAAUACACACAUACAUAAAUAAGAACUAUAUACUAAUCAGGAGAACAAAUUGUCAUCAAAUGGAGGAUGAUGUGCAACAAGUACUAUGAAAGGCGGGCUUACAUAAUAGGCAGUGACAGUGCCAGCAGAGUUUCCAGGAACAAGUUUGAGCUGCAUAUCAAUCUUGCCAAACAGAUACUCGUUCUUGGACUGGAAACCAGAUCCAGAGGUCUUGUCAAGGGAAAGAGUGAGAAGCUCUCCAUUGUUGAGUAUCUUAGCACGCCCGUCUCCCCAAGUGAUGUCAAAGUCUUGGUAGAAGUUACCUGCUGAGGCAGCCAUUAAGAAGCUCGCCACUACAGAGAUUAGCAGGGCUGUUGAAACAACUGAAAAAGAAGAAUAGAUGGGUGCCAUUGGCGGAUACGCUGUAUGGUUGGUCAGAGGUGUUUGAAGAGAAGAAGUUUGAAUUUAGUGACUUGAAAUUGAUCUCUCAGAGCUCCAAUUUAUACUUGGUGGGAGAGAUAUAGUGAGAUUGAGAGGGUACUGCUGGGAAGGUUCAAAGUGGGAGAACAAAGAAUGAGUUGUAUACAGAUGGCAGUGACAACCAUAUCUACAAAUGGGCUUCCACCUCCCCCCUAAUACUUUUUAAAUCAUCAGAAUCACACGGUUUUGCAAUAGAAAAGUAUUCAGGAAGUACCAUAGUUUUUAACUUCUGCCGCGUCUACCUGUCUCCCCCCCACCUCCCCCACCUCCCCCCAAAAUUGCUUUUGUCCGUUUCCAAUAUAUCAAACAGUUCAACAAAAAACAGCUCUCCAGUGUAAAAAUGUGCUGGACCAGAGCUUCCUACAUACAUCACUCCACCCACUGUCUUUCUAUGUCUAGAAAUCCUAAAUGCCAAAACAGGGAGAGAAAGAUAAGUAGCACCUGCCCAAGCCAUCAUCAUGCCCAGUUGUAAUAAAAAACAGCCCACCGUCUUUCGAAGUGCUUUUAUUGGAAACGUUCUUUCUAAAAGUACUUUUUGGGAAAAUCACAUGAAAAUGAUUUUUUAAUUUUUUAAAAGUGAUUUCUAAAUUUUAUCAAAUAUUUUAUUUUUUUCAAAAAUACUUUUAAAUUAGAAAUAAUAUUUAAAAAUAUUAUCAAACAUACACUUUAAGUUUUGACACUACAUCUUUUUUUUUUUUUUUAGAAUAUUGCUAUCUUUUAUAAUUAACUACCAUCUUUUAUAUUUUAGAGUAUUAACUUUUUAUUAUAUCUAUUGUUUUUAGAUUUAUAAGUCAUUAUGUACAAGUACUAUAUGAUACAAAUAUAAUAUUUUUUAUAAAUUAAUAAAUAUUUAUUUAUCAAUAAAUUAAUAAAUUAUUCAUUUAUAAGUAAAUCAACAAUUUAUUAAGAUUAUGUUUGGUUUUUGGAAAAUACUAAGGAAAGAAAAAAAAUGUAAAGGAAAAUAAUUUUUUCAUGUUUGAUUGUCUUAUAAAAAAUAUAAAAGAAAAUCAAAUAUAAUUAAAACUAAUUAAAAACUUAUAUAUUUUUAAAUUAUUUAAUUUUUAUAUUGAUGAGUUAAAAUAAAUAAAAUGAGUUUGAAGUAACAAAAAAAUAAUUUAUCAACUUUUAAUUUAUUUUUUUAUUUUUAUUCACUUUUUCUUUCCUUUUACUUUUUCUUUGUAUUUUCUUUCCCGUUUUCUUCAAAUUUUAUGGAACCAGGUGAUAAUUUUUCUUGGUCUCAAGAAUAGGGUUCUUAUUGAAGUUUUAAAAAGCAUACUACAAAAUUCACAGGUGGCUUAGUAUUCAUGAAUCAUAUCUCUUGUAAUAGUAACUAAUAAUCAAUCUAUCUUUCAUCAGAGAGUGAAUCAGACUCAAAAGCCAGUGAGGGAAAUGAUUGCUUUUAUGGCCAAUUAACUAUAGGGAUCAUGGAUUUGGGGGAGAAGGUUUCAUUUAGGUUAAUUUGAAACAUUGGUGAUUUUUGAUUUGUUUGUUUGCCGCCUUCAUCAUGCAUGGAGCAUUUUGAAUGAUUCAGUGCAUAGUUUUGGUGACUCUUAACUGAAGUUUCUUGCUGUUUGUGAUUGAAGUGGAAAGAAAUUAAGAUUAUUUACUCUUUAAAUUUGGUGUAAGGCCCAAUCCAUAUCUGUCAGAAGUUAAAGAACAAGCAGAAACAGAGAAAGGGCUAGAAGUUACAUUGACAAUGGUUCAUCUCCUCAGUUAUUUUCAACAAUUUUCUUUUCUUUGUCAUUCGUAAAGAAUAUUUUAUUAUUUGUAUUGUGCCAUAUAUUACAAUGUAAACAAUAUAAUAUUUCUGCUGUUGUAAUAGCAACUAAAAUGAUAAAGAAUGAAAGAAUAGAAAUGAAGAAAAUUUCAAAAGCAAACUAUCUGAUUGAAUGGGCUUAGGUUCCAUUCCUUCUAAGACAAGGUGGUGGCAGUGCAUUCAGGAGGAAGGCCUUGUGGGAAUCGCUUUGUAUCUGUGCAGUAAUUGUAGAUCAUGUAAUUCUUCUGUACCCAUUUCAUUCUCUCUUGGCUUGUGGAAUCUAGCUCUUGUGAGUACCACUGACCACUGGUGGAGGUAGAAGAGGGAGUAGUUGAACUGCAAGAAGAUGCUCCAGAAGACCAAAUGCAAGCAUCUGCAUUGAAGUUCCUAUAGGAAGCAGUGAAGGGGGCUUGGCUCCAGUCUGUCUUGACCAGCCCACCUCUUGUUGCCCAGUCAUCAGCAUUCCAGAGGCUGGAGUAUAUCCUCAUGGGCUGGUUCUUGGGAUAUGAAACACCUAUGGACUCAGAGUUCUUGAACUCUCUGAUGGGGGUGCCGUCCACUGAGAAGCUGAAACAGAGAUACCCCAGAUGAUUGAGCCAAUUAAGAAACCAAAAAAAAAAAAAAAACAUAAACCAGAUUUCACUAUUGGGGAUUAAUUACUGUACUACUUACAUAAUCCGCUGGGGGUUCCAAAGGAUGGAAUAGGUGUGGAAAUCAGCAGUUGGGUCAAACCAGAGGUAGAAUUGCUGCUCUCUGUUGCCCUUGCCCUGGCUGAACACAUUAGUGUGAAGAAUGUAUGGAUCACCACUGAGAUUCCCCAAGAAUUCGAAGUCUAUCUCAUCAUGGGUUGGCCCUUGUGAAGAUAGCUGCAAUUACACAAACCAGAAUGGUGAUUUGUGAGUCAGGAGAAGAUGAAACCAAGAAAGCAUUUGAUGGAAAAGCACUUGGUAAAGAGGAGGCUUACAUAGUAGGCAGUGACAGUGCCAGCUGAGUUACCAGGCACAAGCUUCAGCUGCAUAUCAAUCUUUCCAAACAGAUACUCAUUCUUGGACUGGAAGCCAGAGCCAGAGGUUUUGUCAAGGGAGAGAGUGAGAAGCUCUCCAUUGUUGAGUAUCUUGGCACGGCCAUCACCCCAAGUGAUUUCAAAAUCCUGGUACAAGUUACCAACAGAAGCAACCACAAAGGAACCGAGCAGAAGAGAGACCAAGAACAACUUUGGUGAAAGAUUCCAAGUAGAAGGAGAAGCCAUUGAAUGUGAAUUUAGAGACGAGAAAUGGAAGUAGUUUUGAGCGUGGAAGUGAAGAGAAUGGCGUGGGUAUGUGGGGGUUUUAUAGUAGGUGUCGUGGGGGAAAGUGGAAGGAGAUCGAGAAGAAGGUUCAGUCAGCAGCUGUACACGGUUGAAGAUGUAAAGACAACAGUUGUCAUCAAAUAGCAAAACCCAGUUCAUUUUCACGCGGAUUUUGCAUGGAUUUAAAAGAGAAAAGUGCAGAUCCACUUUCCCAUUUCCCAAGCACCAUUCAUCGCUCAUAACUAAAGCCACCACCGCCACUGAGUAAAAAACAAAAGCGAAUCAAACCCUUGAAACCGUGUCUCUCAUUAUUAUUUUUCAUCUCCAGUUGUAUCCGAAAAAGAAUCACCAAGCCCACAAAUAAAGUCAUAAUAGUAGGAGCCAGUAACAGCCCAAAAGCUCUGUGCUUCGAUGAAACCACCAUCUACUUGGUUUCCUGAAAAGAACUACUCACUGCCCUCUGCUCAACUAAUUUUUAAUUGUGAUGGGUUGGCUUAGAGUUUAAAUUUUAAAACUCAUGGAUCAAGGGGUGGGCCAUGUGCUUGAAGGCUUAAACCAACUGGUUACGAUAUUUCUUUUGGACAAUGUUAGAAUAUCUUAUACUAAUGCGGUGUUUGUUUUUUUACUUAAUUUUAAAUAGAAUCUUAAUACUUAAUAAUGUUAAAUAUUAAAUUAUUUAUUUUUAUAGUAUUUUAUUUUUAUUAAGUAUUAAAAAUUAAAAAAAAAUCAAUAUAUUAUUUUUUUUAUUUAAAAAAAACUACAUAUUUUUUAUUUAGUAAAAUGUUUAUAAUAAGUUAUGAAAAAAUAGAAAAUCAAACAACCUAAAUUUUGAAAACAAAUUACUUUUAGUAAAAAAAAAAAAAAAAAAUACCACCUAAGUAUCUUACUUCUUGAGCCAUUAUUUUGAUGACGUUGACAUUGUUACAAUUGCCAAUAGCUUUUUAUAUGGUUCAAGUCAAACCAACAGGUCACAAAUCAACACAAUUUAAGCAUUAUUCAAAACUGUUUUAAGGAUAGAUUUUCAAAACUCUUCUAUAAAGAAUAAAAAUUUGUUUGAGAAUUUAAAAUAUUUUUUUUAUAACUUUCAAUAUUUUAAAAAUAAUUUAUUUUUAAUCAUUAUUUAUAUUUGUAUAAUUAUUUUUUAAAAUAAUUUUUGAAAAAUAAGCCAAAACAAUUGAAAUAAUUAAAAGAUAUUAUUUGAAACCAAUUUUUAGAAAUAUAAAACUAUCUUUUUUUAAUAUUUGGUUGUUAAACAUGUUUUCCUCUUCUUUUUUUAUUUUUAUUUUUUUUUAUCAUGGAAACAUAAAACCAUUUUAAAAAGUAAUUUCCAAAUAAUACCUAAAUCUUGGGUGACAACAUUAUGUUUACUAAUUUCGGUAGGGAAAGGAGGGCAGCUGUUGAAAAAGAGGUCAUAUUUUUUAUUUUCCUUAUUAUUUUUCAAAACCAAAUAUAAUGUAGAAACAAUAGUAUUGUGAUUUCACUCUCUUCGUUACUUUGUGGGGUUCAACAUUGAGGUUGAGAUAAUGAUAUACAUGCCAUUCAUUGAGAAAGUAAUCUUUGUUGUAUUCAUGUAUUACAUUGUCAACAAUGUGGUGUUUCUGAAAUUCUGAUGGCAACAAAAACGAUAAAGAAUGAAAGAAUAUAAUUUUGAAAUUAUAGAGGCAAACAACGAAGUGAAUGGCCUUAGGUUCUGUUCCCUCUAGGACAUGGUGGUGGCAGAGCAUUCAGGAGGAAGGCCCUGUGGGAAUCUCUUUGUGUCUGCGCAGUAAUUGUAGAUCAUGUAAUUCUUCUGCACCCAUUUCAUUCUCUCUUGGCUUGUGGAAUCUAGCUCUUGUGAGUACCAUCCCCCAUUGGUGGAGGUAGAAGAUGGAGAGGUUGAACUGCAAGAAGAUGAUCCAGA
This 6241-nucleotide long non-coding RNA is filed under the name Vitis vinifera (wine grape). Its description in RNAcentral is "long non-coding RNA (VVIN_LNC003609)". Lineage: Eukaryota; Viridiplantae; Streptophyta; Magnoliopsida; Vitales; Vitaceae. The record is from RNAcentral.